Molecule: ribosomal RNA, 754 nt
Filed under: uncultured bacterium
Lineage: Bacteria
Description: bacterial SSU rRNA
Rfam family: Bacterial small subunit ribosomal RNA
Source: RNAcentral
GCUAACAUGCAGUCGAGCGGCAGCGGGAAGUAGCUUGCUACUUUUGCCGGCGAGCGGCGGACGGGUGAGUAAUGCCUGGGAAAUUGCCCAGUCGAGGGGGAUAACAGUUGGAAACGACUGCUAAUACCGCAUACGUCCUACGGGGGAAAGCAGGGGACCUUCGGGCCUUGCGCGAUUGGAUAUGCCCAGGUGGGAUUAGCUAGUUGGUGAGGUAAUGGCUCACCAAGGCGACGAUCCCUAGCUGGUCUGAGAGGAUGAUCGGCCACACUGGAACUGAGACACGGUCCAGACUCCUACGGGAGGCAGCAGUGGGGAAUAUUGCACAAUGGGGGAAACCCUGAUGCAGCCAUGCCGCGUGUGUGAAAGAAAGGGCCCUUCGGGUUGUAAAGCACUUUCAGCGAGGAGGAAAGGUCAGUAGCUAAUAUCUGCUGACUGUGACGUUACUCGCAGAAGAAGCACCGGCUAACUCCGUGCCAGCAGCCGCGGUAAUACGGAGGGUGCAAGCGUUAAUCGGAAUUACUGGGCGUAAAGCGCACGCAGCGGUUGGAUAAGUUAGAUGUGAAAGCCCCGGGCUCAACUGGAAUUGCAUUUAAAACUGUCCAGCUAGAGUCUGUAGAGGGGGUAGAAUUCCAGGUGUAGCGGUGAAAUGCGUAGAGAUCUGAGAAUACCGGUGGCGAAGGCGCCCCUGACAAAGACUGACGCUCAGGUGCGAAAGCGUGGGGAGCAAAAGAUAAGAUACCCUGUAGUCCACGCC